Molecule: ribosomal RNA, 253 nt
Filed under: uncultured bacterium
Lineage: Bacteria
Description: partial 16S ribosomal RNA
Rfam family: Bacterial small subunit ribosomal RNA
Source: RNAcentral
UACAGAGGUCUCAAGCGUUGUUCGGAUUCAUUGGGCGUAAAGCGCACGUAGGCGGUCCGUUAAGUCAGAUGUGAAAGCCCCCGGCUCAACCGGGGAAGUGCACCCGAAACUGGCGAGCUUGAGUACGAAAGAGGAUCGCGGAAUUCCCGGUGUAGAGGUGAAAUUCGUAGAUAUCGGGAGGAACACCGGUGGCGAAGGCGGCGAUCUGGGUCGAUACUGACGCUGAGGUGCGAAAGCGUGGGGAGCAAACAGG